GGGUCCGAGGUGCGAUGAUUGGGGCCUUAUGGCCCGAUAUCCGGUGAUCCCGGCUGCCGAGGAAAGCUUCGGCGUCAGGCUCAAAGCCGCCCGUACCCCAAACCGACACUGGUGGUCAGGUAGAGAAUACCAAAGCGAUCGAGCGAAUCCUGGUCAAGGAACUCGGCAAAUCACUCCCGUUCCUUCGGUUUAAGGGAGACCCCCGAUGGUGAACACACUUGCUGUGGGAGCUUUUUGGGGGUGGCACAGACCAGGGGGUAGCGACUGUUUACCAAAAACACAGGUGCAUGCGAAGGCGCAAGCCGCUGUAUAUGCACUGACGCCUGCCCGGUGCCGGAAGGUUAAGAGGAUCCGUCAGCCUUCGGGUGAAGCGGUGAAUUCAAGCCCCGGUAAACGGCGGUGGUAACAAUAACCAUCCUAAGGUAGCGAAAUUCCUUGUCGGGUAAGUUCCGACCUGCACGAAUGGCGUAACGACUUCCCCACUGUCUCGACCAGGAGCUCGGCGAAAUUGCAGUACGAGUAAAGAUGCUCGUUAAGCGCAGAAGGACGAAAAGACCCCGGGACCUUUACUAUACCUUGGUAUUGGCAUUCGGUGUGGAUUGUGUAGCAUAGGCGGGAGGCCGAGAGGCGCGGUCGCCAGAUCGCGCGGAGCCGUAAGGUGAAAUACCGCUCUGUUCGCAUUGGAUGUCUAACCUCGAACAGUCAUCCUGUUCAGGGACAGUGCCUGGCGGGUAGUUUAACUGGGGCGGUUGCCUCCCAAAGAGUAACGGAGGCGCCCAAAGGUCCGCUCAGCCCGGUUGGCAAUCGGGUGGCGAGUGCAAGUGCACAAGCGGGCUUGACUGCGAGGACGACGGUCCGAGCAGGGACGAAAGUCGGGACUAGUGAUCCGGUGCCGGUGUACGGACGCGGCAUCGCUCAACGGAUAAAAGGUACCCCGGGGAUAACAGGCUGAUCAUUCCCAAGAGUCCAUAUCGACGGGAUGGUUUGGCACCUCGAUGUCGGCUCGUCGCAUCCUGGGGCUGGAGCAGGUCCCAAGGGUUCGGCUGUUCGCCGAUUAAAGCGGCACGCGAGCUGGGUUCAGAACGUCGUGAGACAGUUUGGUCUCUAUCCUCUGCGCUCGUUGGAAUGCUGAGGAGGCCUGCCCAUAGUACGAGAGGACCUGGGUGGACGAACCUCUGGUAUGCCGGUUGUCACGCCAGUGGCACGGCCGGUUGGCUACGUUCGGAAGGGAUAACCGCUGAAAGCAUCUAAGCGGGAAGCCUGCUCCAAGAUAAGCAUUCCGUGGAACCUUCGAGUUCCUGUAGUCCCCAUGCAGAACACGUGGUCGAUAGGCCGGACGUGGAAGCCCCGCGAGGGGUGGAGCCGACCGGUACUAACGGACGAAAGGC
This 1388-nucleotide ribosomal RNA is filed under the name metagenome. RNAcentral describes it as "bacterial LSU rRNA". It matches the Rfam family "Bacterial large subunit ribosomal RNA", at positions 1552 to 2917 of the family's 2925-position model. The record is from RNAcentral.